RNAcentral lists this small RNA (76 nucleotides) under Xanthomonas campestris. Its description in RNAcentral is "sRNA sX9". It matches the Rfam family "Xanthomonas sRNA sX9". The record is from RNAcentral. RNAcentral also lists the same sequence under 7 other names. Lineage: Bacteria; Pseudomonadati; Pseudomonadota; Gammaproteobacteria; Lysobacterales; Lysobacteraceae.
AUGGAGUCCCCCUGCGCUUUGGCUCCUCUGCGCUGUCCGCACCCGCCUGACGAUUGCUUGCUACGGUCUGUUAGUC